RNAcentral lists this unclassified non-coding RNA (203 nucleotides) under Hevea brasiliensis (rubber tree). The record is from RNAcentral. Lineage: Eukaryota; Viridiplantae; Streptophyta; Magnoliopsida; Malpighiales; Euphorbiaceae.
GUUGAUGCACACAAAACAUGUCUAAAUGAUCUGAUGUACUUCCCCACUCGGAAUGCUUACGGUCUCUCAAGUGUUGCUGGAAAUGUGGAGAAACUAGCAGCUUUACAGAAUGAAUUUGAUAAUGUGAAAAUGAGGUUAGAGAUUGAAAGAGAGAAGGCAUUACGCCUUGAGAAGAAGGUCAAUGUUCUUACACAGGGUUAUCA